RNAcentral lists this ribosomal RNA (239 nucleotides) under uncultured bacterium. Its description in RNAcentral is "partial 16S ribosomal RNA". It matches the Rfam family "Bacterial small subunit ribosomal RNA", at positions 95 to 334 of the family's 1533-position model. The record is from RNAcentral.
CCGGCGCACGGGUGCGUAACGCGUAUGCAAUCUACCUUUUACAGAGGGAUAGCCCAGAGAAAUUUGGAUUAAUACCUCAUAGUAUGUGAGAAUCGCAUGGUUUUAACAUUAAAGUCACAACGGUAAAAGAUGAGCAUGCGUCCCAUUAGCUUGUUGGUAAGGUAACGGCUUACCAAGGCAACGAUGGGUAGGGGUCCUGAGAGGGAGAUCCCCCACACUGGUACUGAGACACGGACCAG